RNAcentral lists this ribosomal RNA (513 nucleotides) under Fusarium sp. PVF40. RNAcentral describes it as "eukaryotic LSU rRNA". The stretch from base 134 to 287 matches the Rfam family "5.8S ribosomal RNA". Lineage: Eukaryota; Fungi; Ascomycota; Sordariomycetes; Hypocreales; Nectriaceae. The record is from RNAcentral.
AACCCCUGUGAACAUACCUUAAUGUUGCCUCGGCGGAUCAGCCCGCGCCCUGUAAAACGGGACGGCCCGCCAGAGGACCCAAACUCUAAUGUUUCUUAUUGUAACUUCUGAGUAAAACAAACAAAUAAAUCAAAACUUUCAACAACGGAUCUCUUGGUUCUGGCAUCGAUGAAGAACGCAGCAAAAUGCGAUAAGUAAUGUGAAUUGCAGAAUUCAGUGAAUCAUCGAAUCUUUGAACGCACAUUGCGCCCGCUGGUAUUCCGGCGGGCAUGCCUGUUCGAGCGUCAUUUCAACCCUCAAGCCCCCGGGUUUGGUGUUGGGGAUCGGCUCUGCCUUACGGCGGUGCCGCCCCCGAAAUACAUUGGCGGUCUCGCUGCAGCCUCCAUUGCGUAGUAGCUAACACCUCGCAACUGGAACGCGGCGCGGCCAUGCCGUAAAACCCCAACUUCUGAAUGUUGACCUCGGAUCAGGUAGGAAUACCCGCUGAACUUAAGCAUAUCAAUAAGCGGAGGA